RNAcentral lists this ribosomal RNA (254 nucleotides) under uncultured bacterium. Its description in RNAcentral is "partial 16S ribosomal RNA". It matches the Rfam family "Bacterial small subunit ribosomal RNA", at positions 524 to 776 of the family's 1533-position model. The record is from RNAcentral.
UACGGGGGGAGCAAGCGUUGUUCGGAUUUACUGGGCGUAAAGGGCGCGUAGGCGGUCGUGACAAGUCACUUGUGAAAUCUCCGGGCUUAACUCGGAACGGUCAAGUGAUACUGUCGGACUAGAGUACAGAAGGGGCAACUGGAAUUCUCGGUGUAGCGGUGAAAUGCGUAGAUAUCGAGAGGAACACCGGCGGCGAAGGCGGGUUGCUGGGCUGAUACUGACGCUGAGGCGCGAAAGCCAGGGGAGCGAACGGG